CCAUUUUUUUUCUCGCUUCCUGUAGGAUGGUAAGGGAAGGUCCGGCCCUCCUUCGCCUCUGAUUGGCUAUAAGUGCUGACCAUUUGGCUUGAGCGUGUGAUGACGUUUCAAGCUUUUGUAGCCAAUCAGAGGCGAAGGAGGCGGGACUUUCCCUCACGAUUCGUGAGUCUUUUUCCCCGGGAAAGUCGUAAAAUCGCAUCGGGCUUGAUGUGUACAGUCAGGUGCGUCAAAAUUCACCUCAGAAUAUUUCAUAAUUUCGCGUUCUAUAUUUGCGUCGGCCCCGGUGUUUAAGGACCUUUAGUCUUGCCACAGUGUCAACAGGCAGAUGGUAAAAUGCACCAGACCUCUUCCUUCCUGCAGAUAGAGUUGGUUUGAUGUGUGUGUGUUUGUGCUGUUGUUAGGUUGUUUGGUUUAGACCAAAUCAAGUAUUUUAACACAGCCAGGUAGGACUAAUGAUUAGCAACAGUAGAGGACGGCAGGUGAAUCAGAUAAACCUCUUAUCAUGUGACCAAUAAACUAUCAAACUGACAGUCACGGUAAAUAUUUUGAUGUUGCAACAAACAACACAAAUCCUUUACACGAAACACACACACUCCACUCGCUUGGUGUGUAAUCAGGGGCAGCACUAGGUCGGACAAACAGCACUCGUAGUGUUAUGUAAAACAAACCACGUGGACGGGGCAUAACCCCCAAAGAGGGUGAGGCUCAGGGCGCUGUGUGUGUGUGUGUGUGUGUGUGUGCGUUUAUCUGCUGUAAGCUUUUAACCUGGUUUGUGCCGUCAGCUCCGGUCUGUCUCUGCAGAAUUAGCCUCGCGGCACAGAAGCAAAAAGAUCUGCGCGUAUUCGGAGCGACAAUACACACAGAUGUGGAGCCAAAAGAGCAGAGAGGAACAUGUGGAUUAACAAACCAAAAAAAACUGCCAUUUGAUUUGCAAUUUCUUGAUACGGCACCCUGCUGGGAUAGGAGGAAAUCUUUCAUCCUCUAUCAAUUUAGCGUUUAUUCAUUUAUCGAGUGUGACUCAUUAUGUUGAUGAAAGACGCAGUGCAGAGCAUUUAGUCAAUUUAGCAGAUUUAUUUACUCAUUAGCCUCCCAGACUCUCCUCUGUUGUAUUGUUGUGUAAUCCGCUGUGUGGGUAUGAAAAACAGGUCGAGGUGGGAGGCGUACCCCUGCUUUUUAAUGAUUACAUAAUCCAUAUUAGGCUGGAAAUAAGCUCAAAUUUCUCCACAUUGCAAACUCAACUUUCCUUCAUUAGCCUAAUUACUGCGUUACACAACUGAUCAGCCCCCACGGGAAGAUGCAGCGCGGACGAGGACAGCACCAGACAGGCUCUGGAUCCAUUUUGAGAAAAUAAACGCCUCAUUUUUCUGUGUUUACCUCCGGUUUUUCCCCCACAUAUUCAGAUUGGUUUCUUUGUGUAAUAGGACAAAAUGGAGGCGCCGCUGAGAGUCUUUGUUUGGAGGUGGUUUGUUUGACAAAGUCAAGGAUGUUCAGCUCUCUGAAGUCUGCUCCUGCCUUGUUUGGGUGGUCUGUUCAGGGAGUCGCAGAAACUCGCAGUGCACAUAGCAACAGCUCUCCUCUGUUUGGGUUUUUCUUUUGGGGUCAUUCUGAAGGCUGUGUGUGCAGAGGCGUUUUUUUCCCACUGGUUUCCAGCGCGCACCAUGUGAUGAGGUCAUCCAUGUGUGUCGCCGCAUCAUCUCAGAACAAGCUGUGCCCAAUUAGGUCAAACAGAGAGCCGGAGGAGUAAUCUGAGUCGAAUACUUAUACACACAAACGCAGGUGCAGCUUAAAAACUUAACAUGAACGGAAAAAAAAGUUCAUUUUUCUUCACAAUUUAGUUCAAAAAGUGAAACUUCCAGUUAUUCCAGACUCUACUGCUGUUGGUCUGCUGUGUCCAGAGUAGGCCUGGGCAACAAAUUGAUCACAAUAUAUUUUGUCAGAUCGUCCGAUCUCGAUUAUUAUCACGAUUUAAAAAAAAAUCUUCUUAAACUGCCAGUUUUAACGCAUCUGUACUAAAAACUGAAGAAACUAGAGAUUAAUUCAACAUUUUACUAUCAUACAAAGUUAAAGAUAAACAGAAAAAUAUAGAAAAACAUUUUUAUCAACAAUAGAACAAAUGUUCCUCUCACUCACCCCCUCAGGGAUAAUGAAGACGCCUUAAAUGUAAACAUUAGAUGAUGUAAACGUAGAUGAUAUUUAUCGAUUGCUUUGGUCUGGUGGCUGCACCGCUAGUUGUGGCUAAACUGCUAAUGCUACUUGUGUGGUCAGGCUGUGCAGACUCCGCUCACAUUUUCAUGUUUUCCGCAUAAUCACUUGGGAAGUAUUUCUUUAAAUAAUUAAACAGAUCUGUUGUGUUGCCGGUUUUUGAGGGCACCAACCGCCGACAUACGUCACACAUCGGCUUAAUUGCUCGAUGUUACUUUGGAGAUACACAAACCACCUCAACAAUGGCGUCUUUUCAAGUCGUGGCUGACAUCUUUUUUGCUGCCCUCAGCUCUGCGUUAAGCUCCAUGUUCGGUCAUUCUGUUUACUUCCCCUUUUUACUUCUCCGACAACUUACAGAAGUGAGAAAAGCUCGACUCUGAUUGGCUGUUGUGACGCACAUUCCUGUUGUGUUUGAUCGAGUAAAUAACCUCACAGCUGAUCACUGUGAUUGAACUGAAAUUUAUCACGAUCAUAAAAUCACCCAGUCCUAGUCCAGAGUCAACGCAGUUUAAAGCCAACUUGGAGAUUUUAGCUGCACCUGUAAAUGACACCCCCAUAAAGAUAAAUAAGGGCCUGUGUCCACUGGCAGCCUUUUUUGCACCCAUAAUCAUAUUUUUAGAGUGCUUCUUACAGCAUUUAGUGUCGGUUUAAAAAGUUGUCCUGUUGCACUUCUAGUUUCCAUAAAGUUUGUCUCGAGCCGGACGAACAAGCUCUGCAGAAAAUCUGUGUGACGCUGCAAACAAAAACUGCAGCACCAAGCAGAUCUUAACUGCAGGUGAACUCUGCUCGCUGCCGUAAAUGGUCACAGGAUUUUCCUACUAUCAGCUGUAUGUUUGGUCCAGCUUUCUAUUAGCCCAUAAAAAAAGACAGCGGUGUAGGAAUAAAGGACAGGCCUCCGACCACAUCUGGCGCCAUCAUGGAGGGUUCUUCCUUCUGUGUGAAUACGUUGUGUAAAACAUAAAACAGCCACUGAAAACAAGACCGACUCCUUGAAAACAGGUGCUGCAGAGUUUAGUGCAGUCGCUGAAUUUACGGCUCAGAAUGUUGCACUUUUUAAAGGUUGGACUACUUGCAGAAACUUGCGUCAAAUGUGUUGAUUUUCAUGAGGAAACCAGUUUCUCCUGCGAGGACGUUUCACAAGUGCAACUUUUGAUCCAGCUGGAGUUACAUCAGGACAGUGUUUUAGGCAUCCUGGUCUUGAGAUUUAGUGUUUGGCUGCCUGUCAGAUAAUAAAACUGAAAAUACAGGAUUUCAUCUUUAAGGCCUGCAGGUUGGUUGAAAAACCACAUGCCGCCACUCGCUUGACUGUUGCAGAUCUUAGCUCUUGUGAACAAACCGAAACAGCACAACCUGGAGUGGUUGCAUCAGCGUGGACGUGUCACUUCAAGUAUCAGUGAAACAGCAAAUUAAGAUGAAGGAAGAGUGGACUGAGAUAAACCUCAGUGAGUCUGAGGACUCGUCAGACCAUAAAACACGGGGCGGUUUAUGUUGGUAUGAGAAAGGAUUUGACAUCUCGUUAAAUCUAAUCCUUUGUUUCAACAAUCACCAGGUUCAGAGCAGAUAAAGAGCAGCGAAUGUUGAGUCAGAUUGGAGUUUUCCUCCUCUUCCUUUUUGGCACAGAGAGUGAGUUUAUAUAAGUCGGUCAAUAAAUCAAUCAAAAUGUUUCCAUAUAGUUCAUUUAAAAGAGAUAAUGUGCCUGUUAAAGUGUUUUUACGAGUGAUUUAGGAAUGUAGCGGGAGACACACCAGAACAACGGAGAAGUGACACGACUGUGACAGCAACAAAAGACGGGUAGUUUAUUCUGAAAUAUACUGUAGCUGUUUAAAAGUUAAAGGUUUUAUGCAACAGAGAGUGUUUGAUUGUUAUGAUAAAAGAUAAAAUGUUCAGAUUAAAGUUGAACAGAAACUUUGAAAAUUAAAGCUCCUGUGAGGAACUUCUGAUUUGUGUUGAUUUUUGCGCGAUAAAGAGAGAUCAGUUUUAAUUUCAAGCUGUUUCAUAACCAAAUAAAAACUACUCAAAGGAGCUUCAAGUUACAUUAGUAAGAGUUGGGACGGAGAGAUUAAGUAUUUAUAGUUAUAGUUUAUAGUUGGCAGGGUAUCCCCGGGGUCUUUAAAAGUCUUAAAGCAUCUAAAAUCCAAUAAUUUGAAUGUAAGGCCUUAAAAUGUCUAAAAUUCUCCUAAAAUCUCAUAAAAUGUCUUAAAUACGAUUUUAAAAAGUCCUAAAAAAUUCAUUAACUUCACUUACAAAUAAAGAUUGAUUUGACGUCAUGUAAAAUGUUCUUGUCUUUGUACUUUUUUGCCAGUAUGGAUGUAAAAUGCAUCUUAGAAGACAGUAGUUAACUCCAGAGUUGCGUAGCUCUAAGAAAAGUUGGAUAUCUUUCAUUAAAAUGGUUUAUUCCAGAAAAUGUUUGUGCCUAUCAUAAAAGGUUUGGCGUUAUGGAAAGAUGGGUCGUUUUUGGUGACGAUAGCUAGUUUAAGUAAAGAUAAAGAUAUUUAAAGUUAUCAGGUCGGUUGUGUAGUUGGUGUUGGAGGUUAUAAAGGUGUGAGAGUCAAUAAAAGAUGGGUAGUUACUGUUAUGUAUGAUUGGCUAUACCAUAAAGAGGGGAUCAUGAUAAUAAACACUUCAGGUUUGAAACGGUUUUUUGAUGUCAAGUUUGAACUGGAUUUCACUGCAUAAAUAAAGUUUUAUUACAAGUAUUGAAGGAUGAUGACCUCAACACAUAGAACAAAAUCAAGUCAGUUUUAUUCGGUAUUUUAUUCAAUAUCAGUUUUAUUAUGUAUAUUUGUGUAAUGAGGGUUUUAAAGAAGUCCCUCACUUCUGUCCACUCCUCUGCUCUGGGACAUCCAGACAGUAACGACUGCUCCUCAAAAAAUAAUCCAAUUUCUCUUUUCAUUAGUGGGAGUCAAUGCUUUUAUUCAAUUUGGGAGUUGAUGUUAGGACGUGUGUAUGUGUGUCUGUGUGUGUGUUUGUGUGUGCAGAUGUUGCCUGAGGUCCACUCUGUCACAGACUAAUCUUCCGCAGAAUACAUGAGGCAGAAGAGGGAACGGGAGGAUUUGGUUCGUAGUGAAAAGGGACUAAAUCUGUGCGUGCGUGCGUGUGUGUGUGUGUGUGUGCGUGUGUGUUUAUGAUGCUGCUCAGCCUCUCAGCACUUGUUGAACCUUUAUGAAUCAUCAUCCUCAGUUAUUAUUGAAUCAUAAAGCUCAUAAUGAAAGUCUUUCUAUAACCUCUUUUUUGUCUUUUGAAUGGAUUUUUCCUGCAUUAUGGAUUAAACGUGUGUGUACGUACGUGUGUGUACUUGCGUGCGCGUGUGUGUGUGUGUGUAAUAUUUACAAUCACUCCACCAUAUUUGCUUUCACACUGUCACUAUUUGCCUCAUUUCUACAAACAUCAAAAGGCCUUUUCAUAAAGUGUUUGACACUCAAAUAUUGGAGCGGGACAUACUGGCGAGUUCAGAGAAAGGGUGAGGACGCUUCAGAGAAAGAAAAAAGGAGUGGAGGUCAAUGUUGAGAAUAAAGGAGGGGAAGGAGGCAUUGAAGGGAAAUACAGGACGUAUAAAAGGGCGAGCAUGGGGAGGAGCUGAGCUGAUAACUUGUAGAUCUGUAUGGGUGUAUUUAUGUACGUAUACACAAGAAUAUGUGUUUCCUUUAUUUGUUGGAUUACAUAAUUCUGCCUAUUUAAGUAUGACUGUAGGGAACUUUUGGUUUGAAUUGAUUUUGGCGCCCCCUGUGGACAGCAUGAUACUGUUUAUCUCUCGCCCUGUACAUGUGAAAGUAGUGUUUUCAAACAAGAACCUCAUCUUGUUUACUUUUAACAUUUAAAUGUAUCUCAUUAUGAGUGAUCGCCGUGGUGAAAUUAAACAAAAGAUUCUCGUUUACUAAUGCUACGUUCCAGUAACCUCGGAAGUCGGACGUCAGAACUAGGAAUGACAUCACACCCAAGUUGACGGCGUUCCAGUUGACAAGUUGGAAAACCAAGAUGGACGCCUACAGUUACCCGUUGUUAGCUGUUGUUUACGAUUGUCAGCUGUUGUUAACCGUUGUCAGUUGUUGUUAGCAGUUGUUAGCGUAACCAGUGGUAAACAACACAUAACAUGGUAUUUUACUCUUACUAACACCAUAUCACCGUGUUCACAGUUAGACGUUGGGCAGUACAACAUAAACCACUUGUUUAAUUUCACAAAAACAAAACAGAAGUGCUAAUAAAUAAUACAUUACGAGAGCUUUUACAGUUACUCUUUCCUGUUGAUGCACUGCGCUGCCAUCUUGGAUUAUGACACUGUCAUCAAGUUUGGGUUGGUAAGGAUUGUCCGACUUUCCAAAUCGGAAAUCUGACUUCAGAGGGGUGUUCCAGAUGAUUAUCUGACUCAGAGCUCGGAAAUUGCGACUUCCGAGUGCAACUGGAAUGUAGCAUUAAUCACAACAGGAAAAAUAUCAGCCUCAUCGCUUCUGCUCUUGUUUGGCAUCAGUAAAAGUUUGAGUUUGUUUAUCAGCCAGUUAAAAACUCCUUACAGUGCCUUUAAACUCAUUUAAAGUUAAUAUGAGGAUUUUUUUAUAUGCAUCUGUAACGGUGCCCUCUGUGGUACCUCUUCUCUCUCGGCUGAUUUUAAAUUCUCAAAGUAAUUUUUGCGGUACAAAGUUUUAUCCUUCCUUCUUGAAAGCGUACAGGUAUAUUUAUGUAAAAGCAAUUCUUGAAAUACCACUCACUGAAUGCCAUGGAAAUAUAAUGGUCAAAACUUUUAGCCAUGGUUGUUUUAUGAAUGGAGAAAAAUAUGUGUGUUUCCAUGGUGAUUACCAACGUCAAGAACUCUCUUUCAUUCUUUACGUCACUGUCACCCACCUGUCCUUCUCUGUUCAGUCUCUCAUUUUCCCAAGACCUUGACCAGACUCAUCUCCCACCAUAUGCUGUCUUCAACACACACACACACAUACACACACUUUAAUCACCGUGCUUCGGUGUGGCUUGAACAUGACUCGUGUGAUGUUGACGGCAUAUUUCACGAGGUCAGGGCGAGAGCAGCAGACCAGAGUGUCUUCAUUCUUGAGCUCAUCACAUGAAGCCUGCAGAGAGACCGAUCAGCUGAUAGCACAAGGUGUUUGUGCAUUUUAGUGUGUGUGUUUGUAAUUCCAGUGAUUCUACGCAGCCGGUGAAGGUCACAUCUCAGUUUCAACAUCUCCUGCAGAUACAUACGAUAAAUACUGACCAAAAGUACUAUGAGAAAUGAAUUCCUAAAAGUAGCACGUAUACAAUUACAUUUUACAGAUUUGGCUUUGAGCAGACAGUUCAUCUUCUUUAUUUGUUGAACUUUAAAUGUCCUUAAAGCUCCUGUGAGGAAUCCUCUGUUUGGGUCAGCUUUGGCGCCCCCUGUGGAUAAAGUGGUACUCCUGGUCAAUUUUUGUCCCUUGCAUGUGUUUCAUUCAACAAAAUCUCCCGUUAUGAUUCUUUACCAAGAAAGUUAAUUUCUUUCUGUUAUCUAAUCCCAUACCUACCCCCUUUGGCGGCCAUGUUUAACCUUAAAAAUAACCUUAUAGAAAAAAUCAAUCUUCUCUGUUUCGUGACCGGUCUAAAAACUCCUAACAGGAGCUUUAAUAUUUGUUUUUUUUCUGUCAUAUUUAUCUGAUGGCCACAUUGGAGAAUUCAGACUUUCAUGACUGAAAUGCUCUUUCGACAACAAAUCCUUUAAUGCUCUUGUGUUUGGGGGUCUAAGCCUUGCUCAAGGGCUCCUCAAAAUGGGCUCAGUUGUGGUCUUUUUUCAUUCCGUGCGUGUGUGUGUGUGUGUCUUAGUGUGUCUUUGGUGGACUGCCCGGGUGAAUGCAUGCUAAUUAGGUAGUAAAACCUGGCUCAUGGCUCAGUACUCUGGUCAUGUUUUGACUGACUACUGCCUUAUUCACAUGCAUUUGGCACGCACAUCGACACACACAUUCAAUAACACUAAUACACACAUAUGCAAGAACACAGCACCGCAGUAAUGAAUUGUAUUGGCAGCUUGGUCAGUCAAAGAGGCGCCGCUGGACAGACGGAGUGUGUUUUUUUGUGCGUGUGUGUGUUUUUUAUGUGUGUGUUUGUGUGCACUUGAGGACUUUAGCCAUUGAACCUGUCAUUGGUUGGUACAGAAAAACACUUUUUACCACGCCCGUGCAUGCUUACUUUUCAAUUCAGAGCUCUUUUGGUUUUUAUCAAAAAGUUCAGUUUGUUUGAUUUACACACAUGAAUGAAACACACAUAUACUCAGAAACACAAACACACCCACACUCGCACUCGCACGCUCACAAGUCUUGCGGCUGUGUUGCUCCUAAUACGAAAAGCCGAAGACAGUUGAUUCAAGCCAAUCACCUUCAGGAAGCAGGGAUCAGCCAAAAGCUCCUCAACUAAUGGGCAAAGUUACCUUCACUGACCUGGCUCUGGUCCAUGUCGACUACACACACUCACACACACUCACACACACACUACUCCGAUCUCUUUUGUCAACAGUCUUUUGCUCCUUCUGUCUCCAACAAAGCCUCUCUUCCUCCCCGCUCAGCUCUUCAAACCUCUCUCUCUUCUUCCCCUCUUCCUGUCUUUUCUCUCACUUUCUUUAUCGGACUUUUUCUUUGCUCUGUUUUUUUUAUUUUCACACCAGACUUUUCUUCUUCCUUCUGGUAAUCACCUCCUAGUAAUUAAGGAGCUUUUAGUUGGGUGUGCGAGCUUCAUUUGUGCCUGAAUGAAUGAAUGAAUGAAUGAGAGCAGCUGUUCUAUCAGGCUGACUCUCUGGUUUAAUACACAGAGCAUUAUUUACUAAAGUUAGAUCACAGAUGGAUAACUUACAGAGCAUGUCCACAUUAGAAAAUCACCGUAAGAAGGUUGUUGUUUUGGUCAGGGUAGGGCUAAUUGUUAGCUACCUCUUGUAAAUUGCCUCUUUGUGAAGUAUUAGCACUCCAAAGAAGAAAACGCCACAAACCACAACUUUCCCCACGCUUUUAGCACAUUAGUCUAAAGAUUUAGAUAACAGUUAGCUUUAAAAUCUCUAAAAUGUGGAUAUUUUUUAACACAGCUUGCCCUGUUUUUUUGCCCCCAUACUUGUUGUUUAUGCUAGGCUACUUAAGCUAACAUCUCCAGGUUACAGCUUCUUAUUUAACGAACAGAAAUGAGAGAAGGGGAAAAUUUUUUCAUCCCUAAGUGUGCUAACUAACAACUCAAAAAGUGACCAAAAAUUUGGUUCACUUUUAACUUUAUUGGGCAUUUGUAAAUCAGCAUUACAGCACAAUGCUCCACAACUGUUAGCUUAGCUGUAUUUAGCUAGUUUUGUUUAUGCUAGCUCCAUUUUCUAACCUGUAAACUCCUAAUAUCACAAAAACAAGAACAAUGUGUACUUUUGAGAUAAGAUUUUAAUAGUUAAUUCAUAAUAAACUGGAUUAGCAUUUUAAUUGAGCAAAGUUCCCUUGUCUAUUUAUUGUGUUAUCGCUAAAUAAAGCAUAGAAGUCAAAACGUGUAGGUUAAAAUAAAAAGAGAAAAAGUUGGUAGAUUUGAAAGAAAACUAAAAUUUACACCAGAAUCACAAGAGUGAACCUUGUUACAGAGUCAGCCUCUAGGUACCAUGAGUAUCUACACUAUAUUUCACUGUUUAUCAUUUUGUAAUGUAAUUUCAGUCCGGACCAAAGCGGUGUAGCAACUUUGCCAGCCUUUGAACCAGCUUUGUGAAAGAGGUCAAACGUUUCUGCUUCCAGUUUUGCAAUUAUGAGGUUAGCUGCUUUUUGCCGUUUUAUAGGAUUGGUAAAUUUUGCUGCUUUGGAAAUAGACUGCUGGCGAAAGUAAACAGGAAAAUCUGAAAACGUCUCAUAAGGUUGCAUUUUCCAGCACCUUCUUUAGACUAUUUAUUGGUGAUUGAAAAGUCUAACUGAUGAUCGAUUCAGCAGCUUUUUUGCAGCCAUUAUUGGGGCUUUUUCAGGUUAAAUAGAUGUUUCCUUCUCUAACCAUGUGUACUGUAUGUGCGCCUCGAUCCAUGUUCAGUGUGUGUAUAUACUUGGCAGCGUGCCAGCUCCCUGAACGGACAUGAUCCCGUCUACAGAGCGCUGAUUGUGCGCUGUGGUAUGGGAUGUAUGCCUGGCUCAGGGAGCGUCGGGCGCUGCAAAAAAGAAAUGGAGCAACCACCCACCAACCCAACUGGGGUUCAUUGAGGGCACUGGAGGAGGAGGAGGAGGAGGAGGAGGGAGUGUUUCCCUCCUUUCACACACACUCCUUUUGAUUUGUUCCCUCUUUUUUUCUCUCCUCCUCCUCUUUCCUCACACACUCUCCCAGGAAAACAUUUGAGCUUCUUUUUCACGUUUUUGUGUCCCCGUUUUUGCCGUCUUUUCACUCUGUAUUUGUCUCCCAGCUGCUUUUUUUUCCACCUCUUCUCAUAUAAAUUUCUCUUUUCUCCCCGCGCAUGAUUGUCUUGAUGUCAACACCGCCGCGGUGUUUCUCCCCAUGUCUCCGCAGUGAUCUGUGUGCGUCUGACUGUGUGUGUGUGUGUCUCGCUGGAUUCGGGGCCACGGCGUCGCUCAGCUGCCUCUCCCCUAACUGGGUUUGUCUGUAAAGAGCUUAACACCCGUGGGCGUUGGAGAGCACUAAGCUGAUUAACGUCUACUAACGAGCCACUUCUCACAUGGAGGCCGUGUUUGUGUGUGUACUUCAAUCUGGCUACAGUAAUAUUGUUUGUUUACAUGGUGUCAGUACAUGUUUUUGCGUCUGUAUCUGUGUGCAGAGCAUCUCAGGUGCUGCAGAGACCGGAUGGAUCAGGUGGAGGAGGUUAAGGAGAUGAGAGGAGGUCAAAGUUGAUCUCAGGGUUAGCCAAAGUGCUGACGAUGGCGACAGGGUGUGAAUGUAGUUCUCCUCUAUCCCUCCAGACUCCUGCAGAGGAGGUCAAGUUACUCUCAAAGGAGCUGAAUCCCUUUUUUUGCUCACUCCAAUCUGACUUGAUCCGACUAGACUGUGUGAAUUGUGCCUAAUUAUGCUAAUAACUUAGGCUAAUAACCCCUGAUAACCUUUGUGGAAAGGUGCCUGAAAACUUUAUCUAGAUGUGGUUUUAUUAUUUAGUGGGAAAAGUCUGCGGUGAAUGGAUAUGCUUAAGUAAACCAUUCAGACUAUGUGGCUUAAAGACAUGUGAGGUAAUAUCUGAAAUCGCACAAAAUCAAAUAUCUAAUCAUCGGGCUAACAUAAACUAGCCCAGAGUUUGUACAACAAGCUUUUAGCCAGAAGUUGAAUAGCAAGGAUGUGUUGUUAGGAAACCAGGUAGUAAACAAAACCUUGACAGAGGACGAAAGGACAUGAAAAAAAACGAAACUUUUGAACGAACAAACAGCACAGAGCUGUAAAAGUGACUGUUUUCAUUAUCAACGUGCAUUCGGUUAGCCUCUUUUUGGAGGGGAUUUGCUGACUGUUUUGACAUGUAAUGCGUCACCUAGGAGACGACUUGAUAGUAGUAAUACUGCGUUCCAGUUGUACUCAGAAGUCAGAAUUUCCGAGCUCUGAGUUGGAAACUCAUCUGGAACGCACCCCUAAAGUCGGAUUUCCGACUUGGAAAGUUGGACGAUCCUCACCAACUCCAACUUGACGACAACGUCAUAAUCCAAGAUGGCAGCGCAGUGCAUCAACAGUAAAGAGUAACAGUGAAAGCUCUCGUAACUUAUAAUCUAUAAGCACUUUUUGUGAAAUUAAAUAAGUGGUAUAUGUUGUACUGCCCAAAGUCUAACUGUGAACACGGUGCUAUGGUGUUAGUAAGAGUAAAAUACUGUGUCAUGGGUUGCGUACAACAGGUAUCGCUAACAACAACCAACAACAGCUGACAACCGCUAACAACGACUGACAAUUGUAAACAAUAGCAGGCAAUGGCCUAUGUAGGCGUCUUUUUGGUUUUCCGACUUGGUACUGAAACGCUGGUGACUCGGGUGUAAUGUCAUUCCCAGCUCCGAUAUCCGACUUCCGAGGUAACUGGAACGCAGCAUGGGCUGAAAAGGGGGAUUGUCGCCACUUACUGUAGGGGGUAAGGAUUGUCGCAGGAGGGGGAAGGAUUGCAGUUAAAACACAUGAUCAAGCCUCCUGCCUACCCAGUCUUCCUAACUCCAAAUUAAGAGUCUAUACUUGCAAGUAUGGAUUCUUAGUUUCUUUGUUUUAAACACCAACAAUUUAAAUGUUCUCCUCUUUCAUGUUCAUGAGCUACAACACCUGAGGCAGUUUUAGUUUUUAGUUCCAAGAAUCACCCCUUCAGUGCCUGCAGCUCAUGAACAGAUAGUGAAAUGAGUAUUUAUUUAUAAUGAGAAUUAUAAUUUUGAGCGAUUUUUAAUCAUCUCCUCUUCUCAGGUAAAAACUAGAAAGUACAUUUUGUCUUCUUUUGAGUUAAACUGUCUGUAACAGGAGUUUAAAGAACUUUCUGUGAAGUCGAGAGCAGAGUUGAAGAAGAGGAACAAAAACUCAUGGGAACAGAGGGGCCACCUUUUAACAGAUUGCUCAACUCCGACUGCCUGGAGGGAAGCUUUAGGCAAAACACACACAAACACACACUCUGCAUAUUGGAGUUACCUAAUCGUCACACAUGGAGCGGGGCCCGCAGUCACUGCAGCUCUGUUCAAAGUGAUCAGGAUACAACACGCAGACAACCAAUCAGACAAAAAUAACCCACAUUGACCCUUUUGUGCAUAAAAAAAAACCUGCACGCUCUUCAUCUUUAUCUACGUCAAGAAAAGUCAAUAUUCAGCACCUCCAACCAGAACACUUCCCCUGAUCAAGAUGAUUGAAACUUUCUCUGUGGCGAUUGAAGGGAAGAACAAACAGUCCCUCGACCCGCCUUAUGUAACUCAUCAGUGCAGAUCGAAUGAAGGAGCGCUGAUGUUUGCUCACUGCUGCCAUUAUCGGCCUAAGAACGGUCGUUAACCUUUAGAGCGCUGCCUCACCCCCA
Xyrichtys novacula (pearly razorfish) is the source of this 13108-nucleotide non-coding RNA. NCBI's taxonomy places the organism in Eukaryota, Metazoa, Chordata, Actinopteri, Labriformes, Labridae. The record is from the annotation of a GenBank genome assembly.